UACGUAGGGGGCGAGCGUUGUCCGGAUUUAUUGGGCGUAAAGAGCGUGUAGGCGGCCAGGUAGGUCUGCUGUGAAAACUCGAGGCUCAACCUCGAGACGUCGGCGGAAACCAUCUGGCUAGAGUCCGGAAGAGGAGAGUGGAAUUCCUGGUGUAGCGGUGAAAUGCGCAGAUAUCUGGAGGAACACCGGUGGCGAAGGCGGCAUCCUGGACCAAUUCUGACGCUGAGUGAGCGAAAGCCAGGGGAGCAAACGGG
Molecule: ribosomal RNA, 254 nt
Filed under: uncultured bacterium
Lineage: Bacteria
Description: partial 16S ribosomal RNA
Rfam family: Bacterial small subunit ribosomal RNA
Source: RNAcentral